Molecule: ribosomal RNA, 1134 nt
Filed under: Clostridium botulinum
Lineage: Bacteria; Bacillati; Bacillota; Clostridia; Eubacteriales; Clostridiaceae
Description: bacterial SSU rRNA
Rfam family: Bacterial small subunit ribosomal RNA
Source: RNAcentral
UUUAAAUUUAGAGUUUGAUCCUGGCUCAGGACGAACGCUGGCGGCGUGCUUAACACAUGCAAGUCGAGCGAUGAAGCUUCCUUCGGGAAGUGGAUUAGCGGCGGACGGGUGAGUAACACGUGGGUAACCUGCCUCAAAGUGGGGGAUAGCCUUCCGAAAGGAAGAUUAAUACCGCAUAACAUAAGAGAAUCGCAUGAUUUUCUUAUCAAAGAUUUAUUGCUUUGAGAUGGACCCGCGGCGCAUUAGCUAGUUGGUAAGGUAACGGCUUACCAAGGCAACGAUGCGUAGCCGACCUGAGAGGGUGAUCGGCCACAUUGGAACUGAGACACGGUCCAGACUCCUACGGGAGGCAGCAGUGGGGAAUAUUGCGCAAUGGGGGAAACCCUGACGCAGCAACGCCGCGUGGGUGAUGAAGGUCUUCGGAUUGUAAAGCCCUGUUUUCUAGGACGAUAAUGACGGUACUAGAGGAGGAAGCCACGGCUAACUACGUGCCAGCAGCCGCGGUAAUACGUAGGUGGCGAGCGUUGUCCGGAUUUACUGGGCGUAAAGGGUGCGUAGGCGGAUGUUUAAGUGGGAUGUGAAAUCCCCGGGCUUAACCUGGGGGCUGCAUUCCAAACUGGAUAUCUAGAGUGCAGGAGAGGAAAGCGGAAUUCCUAGUGUAGCGGUGAAAUGCGUAGAGAUUAGGAAGAACACCAGUGGCGAAGGCGGCUUUCUGGACUGUAACUGACGCUGAGGCACGAAAGCGUGGGUAGCAAACAGGAUUAGAUACCCUGGUAGUCCACGCCGUAAACGAUGGAUACUAGGUGUAGGGGGUAUCAACUCCCCCUGUGCCGCAGUUAACACAAUAAGUAUCCCGCCUGGGGAGUACGGUCGCAAGAUUAAAACUCAAAGGAAUUGACGGGGGCCCGCACAAGCAGCGGAGCAUGUGGUUUAAUUCGAAGCAACGCGAAGAACCUUACCUGGACUUGACAUCCCUUGCAUAGCCUAGAGAUAGGUGAAGCCCUUCGGGGCAAGGAGACAGGUGGUGCAUGGUUGUCGUCAGCUCGUGUCGUGAGAUGUUAGGUUAAGUCCUGCAACGAGCGCAACCCUUGUUAUUAGUUGCUACCAUUAAGUUGAGCACUCUAAUGAGACUGC